RNAcentral lists this long non-coding RNA (4873 nucleotides) under Sus scrofa (pig). RNAcentral's name for it is "lncRNA (ENSSSCG00015007668.1)". Lineage: Eukaryota; Metazoa; Chordata; Mammalia; Artiodactyla; Suidae. The record is from RNAcentral.
UUUUUUUUUUUUUUUUUUUGGUCUUUUGAGGGCUGCGCCCACGGCAUAUGGAGGUUCGCAGGCUAGGGGUCUAAUUGGAGCUGUAGCUGCUGGCCACAGCCAUAGUCACAGCAACGCCAGAUCCGAGCCGCAUCUGCAACCUACACUACAGCUCACAGCAAUGCUGGAUCCUUAACCCACUGAGCGAGGGAUUGAACCUGCAACCUCAUGCUUCCUAGUGGGAUUUGUUUCCCCUGCGCCACGACGGGAACUCCAGCAUCUCAAACUUUAACGUCCUAAACUGAGUUCCAACUUUAUCCCUCAACUUCAGCUGAUGGGUCUUCCUACAGGCUACACCUUUUUGACUGUGAUAACAGCGCACUUUGAAACGCUUAUGGCCAAAACUUAGAGAAAAAAAAAACAUUUACUUUUCUCUGUGGUUCAUUCCCUUGCUGUCUCUGUCUUCAAAUGACCAUAAUUUGCUUACAAAUAAUUAAGUAGAAGGAAGGGAGGGCAAGAAAGUAGAUGAUUAAGCAUGAGCCGACAACCUCUAAAGUGGGUCAUAGGGGUUCCUUAGACCAUUCCCUAUCUUUUUGUUCCUAUUUCCCAUUAUAAAAAGUUUAAAAAUACAUGCUCAAAUACAACUACUUCUUGCUAAUUCUAAGAUAACACCCUGAUCUGCCACCAUAUAAUAGCCUCAUUGAACUCCCUGCUCCUGCCUUUGAACUUCUUCAGUCUACACUCAACAUAGCAUUGACCUACUGAUUUCUUGUUUUGUUUUUUUCCACUGUACAGCAUGGGGACCAAGUUACACAUACAUGUAUACAUUCUUUUUCCUCCCAUUGAGCAUUGACAUACUAUUCAAACAGAAAUCAGAUCAUGGCACUCCUCAGCCCGAAACCCUCCAAUUCCAUUUAUGAUACUCUCAGUAAAAGCCAGGAUCAUCACAAAGGUCCAAUCGGGCCUCUACACUCUGGCCUCCCCUUGUUUUGUUGACCUGAUUGUCCGCUACUCUGCCCCUUACUCACCCUGCUCCAGCCCCAUGGAAUCCCUUGCUGGUCCUUGAGUGUCCCAAGCAUCCUUUCCACUUACUUUGUCUCUGACCUGAAUGCUCUUCUCCCAGAGAUCCACAGGUAUCAUUUCCUUCUGCUCUUUGGGGAAAUGUCACUAUCAAUGAGUCCUUCCCUGGCUACUCAAUUUACAUUGUCAAAUACUCACUCUCCUAUCCACCUCUCUCUUUUACUUUCUCCAUAGUGCUUAUCAUUAAUUAUCACUAAUUAAUAUUCCAUAAUUUACCUAUUGUCUUUCAUCCCAAUGUAAGCAACAUUAAUGCAAAAAUUUGUAUAAGUUUGUCCCCUGCUGUAUCUGUAGCAUCUAUAAAAAUGUACGGCCAUAGUCAGUGUUCAAUAAUAUUCAUUGAGUUAAAUAUAGGAAAAGAAAUAUUCCCCCAAAGGCUUAAACUAUGAUAACAGAAGUAAGACUGCAUAUUCAUGAUAAAAUAUUUAAAAAUAGGUUAAAUUCCUCUAUUAAAAAAAUCCCUCAUAAGCCAAGCAUAUGCUGAUUAUAUCAGACACAUAGAAUAAGGUGACAAAAACUUGCGCUAUUAUCCAUGAUACAGCACAGUAAGUAAUGAACUUAAUCUCCCUUAGUAAACAACCAGAACACUGGGCUGGAGUUCCUACUGUGGCUCAGUGGGUUAAGGAUCCAGUGUUGCUGUAAGCUGCGGUGUAGGUCGCAGAUAUGGCUCGGCAUUGCUGUGGCUUGGAUCCAUUGUCUCUGUGACUUUGGCAUAGGCCUGCAGCUGCAGCUCUGAUUUGACCCAUAGACUGGGAACUUCCAUAUGCCACAGGUGUGGCUAUAAAAAGAGAAGGAAAAAAAAAAAACUGUGCCAAAUAUAUGGAACAACUAUUUUCAGACGUUGGACAACAAGCAGUUCCAAACCACAAUCAGUGAGAAAAGGGGAACAAAUGAAGUGAGUCCUAAAAUUGCCACAAUUUUCUGCCUGAAGGUGAUUUCCAGACUGCAGGGGCAAUAAGAGGGAAUCCAAACAGUGCCUGGAUGCCUUGCUGAAGAGCAGAGAAAGAGGGUGGAGUUCAGGGAGGCUAGGUUAUGUGUGGCUAGUGGCUGCCACACUGGACACCACAGCUCUUGAUUCAUGGUGUAAAUGGAAACAAAUCCACUGGAAUUGGACAAGGAUUAUCUCUACCUGGUCAGAUUUUGCUAUAUUUUUACCUAUGUUUGCCAAAUUUUUCUAGAGUAAGUAUGAAUUCUCUUUGUAAUCUAUUUUUUAAAAGCUAAUUAAAAAUGUAUACAUUAAGUUCCUAAUACCCAAUUUGGACUUAUUUCACCAGAAAAUUUUUAGAAUUAAACUCUAAUAGUACAAAAACUGAAUUAGCACUUAAUCCUUAAAAGUAGUGUUUAUCUCAAAAAAAUUUCCAUGCCAACAGAAAUUAGCAAUGGAAAUCUCAUUUUAAUUUAAGGAAAUCAGUUGUAAGUUUUCACAUUAGAGUGAAAUCAGUAGUUGCUUUACAACAAUAAUAUUUUAUAUGCACUGUGAUGGAUCUAGAUAGGAUUUCUGGAAAGAAAUACAAGAAAAGACAUUCUAUCUCAGAGACAUAAUGGAUUUCUCUAACAAUAGAAGAUCGGUGAUAUGUUGAAACUUUCAAUCAUUUGUCUAAUUAUAUAUCAUAACUAAAAGGGAAGGAGUUUAGGCUGCAUAAAAUUUAAUAAAUACUUUAAUAAAGUAGCAAAUAAAAUUAGUUUAAUAGACCUAAACUGAGAUAAAUGAAAGAUUUUAUAUUAGAUUUUUUUAGAAAGUUGAGGGGAAAUAUUUCAAAUUCUUCCAAUCUGUCUAUGAUCUCCUUACAUUUCCUCCUUUAUACCAAUUUGCUUCAAUUUAGCAACAAUAAGGCCUCUUAAUGGGCCCCAUUAGUGCCGACAAUAUGCAGUCUGAAUAAUACAUUUGAGACAUCAGCAUUUUGGUAUUUAGGCUGUAGCUUAACUCUGAUUUUAAAAAGAAUGCCAAUGUCCCAUUCAUUUUAUUGUUUCACCUAUUGUUUGAAAAGAGAGUAGGGAAAAAAAUCCAUUAGCUCUUCUCAAAUGUCAGCAAACAUGGGUAACUCCAAAUGUUUGGAGCUGUCAAUCCACGUUACAUCACGUCUUUAAUUCAGCAGUCUGUUUAUCUUGGGCAUCGUUGCCAGCCAUGAGUUCAAACUCUUCACUAAUCUAAGUUUAAAUUCUACCUAGCACAUCCUUCACUGCUAAAAUUGUCCUCCAUUAAAAAAGUUAGCUAUGUCCAGGCAAAACAGGGAUGUGAUAAAAGGAAAUUAUAUGAUUAAAUUUGAAAAUAUCACCUUCAGAUGUGACAGAAGAGAUUAUAUCUUGGUGCAAAUUAUAUGUUUUUUAAAGUGCUGAGUAGCUCACAAUUUCAAGAGGAAACAAGACAUGCACAAUCAUACAUCUAGAGUAAAGUAAUAAAUGAUGUUAUGGCACUGUGUGGUGUAAGUCUUAAAAUUAAGGCCUGUUGUUAUUGCUGUCUUGACAUCUAAUAAAAUUGGGAGAGUCUCAAAUGGCCUAUAAGUUUUCUUUGUCAGUCCGGACAUGGCUCGGAUUGUCAGUGUCGAAAAAUGAGACACAUGAACACGGGGAGAUCUCGAAGGGCAUGGGCACUCCAAAAAGUGCAAGCGCUGAACAAAGGACCCUCCCCUAUUUAUCCCUAACUCAGGCGAUGUAUCUGUCCCCUUCCCAUUGGUCAGGUCAGGUUUCACACAUUCUUCCCAGUUGGCUAAUUUGAAACAAAUUGUUACUGGGAGAAGAGGGAAGGGGGAGGGGUGGGGGUCGCAGGACGGUGAAACCGGAGCAAAAUGCCAUAACCAAGAUUUCCUUUGAUAGAAAAGACAUUAUGUUACUUUUCAUAGUCCUCUCCUAGGGAAAAGGUCCUAUAGCCAAACAACCCUCCUUACAAGGGAUCAGAUACACUUUCUCAGUAGCAAGCUUCAGUUUCCUGUCAGCCUGCAAAAUUAUUCAAACAAGCCAAUCACAUCAUCUAGUGGAAACCAGGGGUGACCUCAUCCUCUUGACACUCCAAACCUGCCUCCCAAGGCCUCCAGGUGCUCAUUCUGUUCUUGAGUAUAAGUCCCAUGUGGUCCCCGCAUGGCAUGGUGUCCUGUCCCCUUGGCGUCAGCACUUGUGACUCAAAAAAUGCUGCCAGUCUCAUCUGUCCUGUCCAGUGCCAGGUGUCGGGUGCUCAACCCCAGGGCAGGAAUCUCUCCUUCAUCAACAAGGUGACCAGGAGGUGAUUCGAACAGGCUAUGUACCUUAAUAAUACCGUCAAGGAUGAGGUUUCAGAAAAAGGUUGUUAUGACUGCCUGGAAAGGUUUUGUAAAGUAGGUCAUUCUGGAUAGAAAAUGAGUUAAGAAUUUGGUUCUGCAUUGUGGCUUUGGUCAAAUAAGACCAAUAAGACUGAUUCUGGGAUUCUCUGCUGAAGGAGCAUAUAGGCAAGAAACGACAGCCAAAUAGUAAACAAAGUACCGAUUUCAUUAAGCGGACACAUUCCCAGUUCAACAAGGGAGUAAAAGUAGAUUACAAGUAAAAGGUGGAUUACAGAGACCGAUUUGGAGCAGGAAGCCACAGCGAGCCUCUUACUUCCUCUGCCCUCUCCUUUGAAUUCCUUGCCCUCUCCCAAAGACCUGCAUGAUAACCCAUGACUGGCCUAUCAACUCCAUUCAGUUGCAGGUAGAAAAGAGAGGGUUGCACUGGACAGGCCAACUGAGACAGACCCUGUCUGGUUUAUAAAAUUCCCGGAGACAGGACGUAUGAGAGGGGGCAAGGGUGUGCUCCAUCCCUGAACAGGGACCUUUAAUUCAGUGAUGCUGCCCUCUAGCCCCACGGUCCC